Molecule: ribosomal RNA, 1563 nt
Filed under: Escherichia coli
Lineage: Bacteria; Pseudomonadati; Pseudomonadota; Gammaproteobacteria; Enterobacterales; Enterobacteriaceae
Description: partial 23S ribosomal RNA
Rfam family: Bacterial large subunit ribosomal RNA
Source: RNAcentral
CGAAUGCUGACAUAAGUAACGAUAAAGCGGGUGAAAAGCCCGCUCGCCGGAAGACCAAGGGUUCCUGUCCAACGUUAAUCGGGGCAGGGUGAGUCGACCCCUAAGGCGAGGCCGAAAGGCGUAGUCGAUGGGAAACAGGUUAAUAUUCCUGUACUUGGUGUUACUGCGAAGGGGGGACGGAGAAGGCUAUGUUGGCCGGGCGACGGUUGUCCCGGUUUAAGCGUGUAGGCUGGUUUUCCAGGCAAAUCCGGAAAAUCAAGGCUGAGGCGUGAUGACGAGGCACUACGGUGCUGAAGCAACAAAUGCCCUGCUUCCAGGAAAAGCCUCUAAGCAUCAGGUAACAUCAAAUCGUACCCCAAACCGACACAGGUGGUCAGGUAGAGAAUACCAAGGCGCUUGAGAGAACUCGGGUGAAGGAACUAGGCAAAAUGGUGCCGUAACUUCGGGAGAAGGCACGCUGAUAUGUAGGUGAAGCGACUUGCUCGUGGAGCUGAAAUCAGUCGAAGAUACCAGCUGGCUGCAACUGUUUAUUAAAAACACAGCACUGUGCAAACACGAAAGUGGACGUAUACGGUGUGACGCCUGCCCGGUGCCGGAAGGUUAAUUGAUGGGGUUAGCGCAAGCGAAGCUCUUGAUCGAAGCCCCGGUAAACGGCGGCCGUAACUAUAACGGUCCUAAGGUAGCGAAAUUCCUUGUCGGGUAAGUUCCGACCUGCACGAAUGGCGUAAUGAUGGCCAGGCUGUCUCCACCCGAGACUCAGUGAAAUUGAACUCGCUGUGAAGAUGCAGUGUACCCGCGGCAAGACGGAAAGACCCCGUGAACCUUUACUAUAGCUUGACACUGAACAUUGAGCCUUGAUGUGUAGGAUAGGUGGGAGGCUUUGAAGUGUGGACGCCAGUCUGCAUGGAGCCGACCUUGAAAUACCACCCUUUAAUGUUUGAUGUUCUAACGUUGACCCGUAAUCCGGGUUGCGGACAGUGUCUGGUGGGUAGUUUGACUGGGGCGGUCUCCUCCUAAAGAGUAACGGAGGAGCACGAAGGUUGGCUAAUCCUGGUCGGACAUCAGGAGGUUAGUGCAAUGGCAUAAGCCAGCUUGACUGCGAGCGUGACGGCGCGAGCAGGUGCGAAAGCAGGUCAUAGUGAUCCGGUGGUUCUGAAUGGAAGGGCCAUCGCUCAACGGAUAAAAGGUACUCCGGGGAUAACAGGCUGAUACCGCCCAAGAGUUCAUAUCGACGGCGGUGUUUGGCACCUCGAUGUCGGCUCAUCACAUCCUGGGGCUGAAGUAGGUCCCAAGGGUAUGGCUGUUCGCCAUUUAAAGUGGUACGCGAGCUGGGUUUAGAACGUCGUGAGACAGUUCGGUCCCUAUCUGCCGUGGGCGCUGGAGAAUUGAGGGGGGCUGCUCCUAGUACGAGAGGACCGGAGUGGACGCAUCACUGGUGUUCGGGUUGUCAUGCCAAUGGCACUGCCCGGUAGCUAAAUGCGGAAGAGAUAAGUGCUGAAAGCAUCUAAGCACGAAACUUGCCCCGAGAUGAGUUCUCCCUGACUCCUUGAGAGUCCUGAAGGA